RNAcentral lists this ribosomal RNA (412 nucleotides) under uncultured microorganism. RNAcentral's name for it is "bacterial SSU rRNA". It matches the Rfam family "Bacterial small subunit ribosomal RNA", at positions 9 to 426 of the family's 1533-position model. The record is from RNAcentral.
GAGUUUGAUCCUGGCUCAGAUUGAACGCUGGCGGCAUGCCUUACACAUGCAAGUCGAACGGUAACAGGCCUUCGGAUGCUGACGAGUGGCGAACGGGUGAGUAAUACAUCGGAACGUGCCCGAUCGUGGGGGGAUAACGGAGCGAAAGCUUUGCUAAUACCGCAUACGAUCUACGGAUGAAAGCAGGGGACCGCAAGGCCUUGCGCGGACGGAGCGGCCGAUGGCAGAUUAGGUAGUUGGUGGGAUAAAAGCUUACCAAGCCGACGAUCUGUAGCUGGUCUGAGAGGACGACCAGCCACACUGGGACUGAGACACGGCCCAGACUCCUACGGGAGGCAGCAGUGGGGAAUUUUGGACAAUGGGCGAAAGCCUGAUCCAGCCAUGCCGCGUGCAGGAUGAAGGCCUCGGUUGU